Amphiprion ocellaris (clown anemonefish) is the source of this 1816-nucleotide RNA transcript. It is a transcript of the gene named differentially expressed in FDCP 8 homolog, with no coding region annotated. Lineage: Eukaryota; Metazoa; Chordata; Actinopteri; Pomacentridae. The transcript is spliced from 13 exons. The record is from RefSeq and is a predicted model, not a curated record.
UUGACGCCGCUUUGCCUUGUGAUGUUGCUGAUGACAGGGACAAAACAACACGGGGAGAGCUGUUUGUAUUUACCAUAACCGUCGACCACAUUAUAUAUUUUUUACAGCUGAUAGUUCCCCGAUGAUAAUACGGCCAAUAACGGGAUGUAGCCAAUAAAAUGGAGUAUGAUGAGAGACUUGCACUUUUCCGCCAAACCCGCCUCAAUCCCUUUGACCGAGGAGAGGAAGAAGAUGGUCCCCAAGGAGGGAAGACGCCGCCGCAACACGAAGCAAGACCUGAGCUGUUCUCAGGGACCAGAACCCACAGUUCAGAUCGGACUAUGGAUCUCGGUCUAGCUGAGGACCACUUCUCAAGGCCUGUGGGUUCUUUUGUGGCGUCCGACAUUGAACAGCUGAAAUUGGCCAUAGAGGAGUGUAAGAAGCUGAUAUUGGAGCUGCCAGAACAUUCGGAGAGACAAAAGGACACUGUCGUGAAACUCAUUCACCUGCGUCUCAAACUGCAGGAACUUAAGGACCCCGAGGAGGACGAGCCUAAUCUGAGAAUUCUCCUGGAGCAUCGUUUUUCCAAGGAAAAGAGCAAGAGUGUGAAACAGACUUGUGACAAGUGUAGCACUAUCAUCUGGGGCCUUAUCCAGACUUGGUAUACUUGUACAGGAUGCUACUAUCGUUGCCAUAGUAAGUGUAUGAACCUGAUCACCAAGCCCUGUGUCAGGUCGAAGGUCAGCCACCAGUCAGAGUACGAGCUCAGCAUCUGCCCUGAAAUAGGACUAGACCGGCAAGACUACCGUUGUGCAGAAUGUCGCACUCCUAUUUCACUGAGGGGUGUACCCAGUGAGGCCAGACAGUGUGACUACACGGGACAGUAUUACUGCAGCACAUGCCAUUGGAAUGACACAGCCAUCGUCCCAGCUCGUGUCAUCCACAACUGGGAGUUUGAACCGCGCAAGGUUUGCCGCUCUUCAAUGCGCUACCUGGCACUGAUGUUGUCACGACCUGUGCUGAGGCUAAAAGAAAUCAACCCACUGCUUUUUAACUUUGUGGAGGAACUAGUUGAGAUCAGGAAACUUCGUCAAGAUAUUCUGUUGAUGAAACCUUAUUUUAUUACCUGCAAAGAGGCAAUGGAAGCUCGGCUACUACUACAGCUACAAGAUCGGCAGCACUUCGUUGAAAACGAUGACAUGUACUCACUACAGGAUUUGAUUGACAUCUCCAGUGGCAGACUCAGCUGCUCCCUCACAGAGAUCCACACCACAUUUGCAAAGCACAUCAAACUAGACUGUGAGCGUUGUCAGGCCAAAGGAUUUGUGUGUGAGCUUUGUAAGGAGGGAGACAUCCUCUUCCCUUUUGACAGUCACACCUCAGUCUGCCACGACUGCUCUGCUGUCUUCCACAGAGAUUGUUACUAUGACAACUCCACAACUUGUCCUCGAUGUGCCCGAAUGACGGAACGCAAACAAGACGACAUAUCAGAUGUGAAAGAAGCGUAGCUCUAUUAAAAAAGGACCACCUGAUGUUACUGGAUGUUGCACUUUGCCUCAAGAUCAAGAAAGCCCGAUCAUAGUGUUACAAGUAGCUUCUCGUCUUUGUCUUUGAAGCUGCCCGAGGAGCCCCAUAGCCCUGGAGCUGACCUGAAGAACACUUCUAUGCUGUUUGUUAUGUUUAGUAAAUCAUUUGUAGAUCUAUUAUCAGAGAUUAAAAUGGGAUUUUACCAAUGUAGUCAUGUUAAUGCUUCCUCAUAGCGUGGAGAAAAAGUCAAAAGUCUCAAAGCGGAAAUGCUAAAGUGCAAAUUACCAUCCAAGUCCAAAAAUGUGACAGA